Molecule: ribosomal RNA, 233 nt
Filed under: uncultured bacterium
Lineage: Bacteria
Description: partial 16S ribosomal RNA
Rfam family: Bacterial small subunit ribosomal RNA
Source: RNAcentral
CGGACGGGUGAGUAACGCUGGGUAACCUGCCUUGUACAGGGGGAUAACAGUUGGAAACGGCUGCUAAUACCGCGUAAGCGCACGGCAUCGCAUGAUGCAGUGUGAAAAACUCCGGUGGUAUAAGAUGGACCCGCGUUGGAUUAGCUAUUGGUGAGGUAACGGCCCACCAAGGCGACGAUCCAUAGCCGACCUGAGAGGGUGACCGGCCACAUUGGGACUGAGACACGGCCCAA